CAAGACCUUGCGCUUUAGGAGCGGCCGAUGUCUGAUUAGCUAGUUGGUGAGGUAAAGGCUUACCAAGGCGUCGAUCAGUAGCUGUUCUGAGGGGACGACCAUCCACACUGGGACUGAGACACGGCCCAGACUCCUACGGGAGGCAGCAGUGGAGAAUUUUGGACAAUGGGGGAAACCCUGAUCCAGCCAUGCCGCGUGAGUGAAGAAGGCCAUCGGGUUGUAAAGCUCUUUCAGCCGGAACGAAACGGUCACGGUUAAUACCCGUGACAACUGACGGUACCGGAAGAAGAAGCACCGGCUAACUACGUGCCAGCAGCCGCGGUAAUACGUAGGGUGCGAGCGUUAAUCGGAAUUACUGGGCGUAAAGCGUGCGCAGGCGGCUUUGUAAGUCAGAUGUGAAAUCCCCGGGCUUAACCUGGGAACU
Molecule: ribosomal RNA, 424 nt
Filed under: uncultured Nitrosomonas sp.
Lineage: Bacteria; Pseudomonadati; Pseudomonadota; Betaproteobacteria; Nitrosomonadales; Nitrosomonadaceae
Description: bacterial SSU rRNA
Rfam family: Bacterial small subunit ribosomal RNA
Source: RNAcentral